CUCCAUAACUUAACUUGCACAAGAAUCCUCAGCAAACAAGAUUGUAAUAACAACUAAAGAAAAUAUUACUGUAGAACACAUUCUUACCUUGCUUCCUAUCAAUAUGCUUCACUCUCAGCCAAAAAUUUCAUUUAAUAAAAACACAUUUAUAAUUUUUUUCCUUAGUUCUCCAAACAAAGUAACUGUCUCUCUCUGUAGUUUGAGUUUGAUACAAGACAAAAAUUUUAGGACAUUUUGUUUUGCUUUGUUUUUGAAAGAGAAAUAUUAUUCUGACAAUUUGGACUUUUAAUAAUGAGAAACAAAUUACACUGACAUUUACCUGGACAUUGACAACAGGAUGGGUGAACUAUUCAUGAAAUGUAAACUACAUCUUAAUAUAGCAUAUAUUUUGCUGUCAGCUCAGUUUAGACAUCUUAAGUGUUUUCAAGAGCAAGCAUAUCUUUUUGUAACCUCAAUAGCAGAGAUAUGCACUGCGUUGUCAAUUUAGGCACCACACAUAUACCAAUAUAGUAUAUAGAACUACAAUAUUUUCUUGCAGUUUUUGCAUUUGGAAUUUCUGUUGCAGGGGAGGAAAUUUUAAGGGGACUUUUUAUUAUCUUUUCAUUUUUAGUGACAGAUAUGGAGAAGGGAAUCAAAUUACUUGUAAUAUCUUACAUCAGUGAUUGUGUAUAAAAAGUAAAUUACGCUCUUUUUUUCCACUGUUUUGGUGCCUGGAUGUCUUUUACAUAACUUUGUUCUCCAGUAAAAUUCCAAUGCCCUUGCUCUUUGCUUAAGAGAAAAAAUGAAGCCUAUAAGCUCCAGGUAUAUCAAUCAAAAACAACAGAGUCAGCACUAACUCUAAUAAUGAAAACCAUGAUUUCAUAAAUCAUCUUCCACAGGUUGGGGUCAUCUUUUAAAAAUUUCUUAUCAGGCACAGCUCAAGAUUUCUCAGACUCUCACUCUUCUUUCUUUAAUGAAAACAAUAGGAAGGAUGUCAGCAUACAAAUGACAUGACCCUCUUUCACUUAAAAAGAUCCUGAAAAUGAAAAGACUAUGCUUUGCUUUGUCCUUGAAAUUGUGGAAGUCGGGUUUUUUACCUCCCCUCCCACAAAGUUCAAAGAAAAAGUUUAUCUCCAAGCUCCAUAAUGAAAUAAAAGUAUAUAAUAUUACAUGGACUUACUUUAAUAAAAUGUAGAUUUAAUUUUAAGAAGCUGGUGGUAGAGGAUACCUUCUCUACUAGCUGUAUUCACUACAUAACAGAUUAUAACUGCCUAUUUGGCUUUUGUUGCUAUAUAUCCUUAAGCAAACCAAGAGCCCUCUAAUAAUGGAAUUACAUAGUUUUAAUUCCAUCAAGAUGUUUCAAUGCAUUACUUUACAAUUUAGACAUUUCUGCAGUUUGAAAAAAAAAAAAACCCACUAGCAAAAUAUGAGCCCAUUGUUCUGUCUUUCAAGACUAAUAUAUGAAAACAAAAAAAAUAGAAAGAUUUAUAUGGCAUUAAAUCUCUACUAAUAAAACCCAUAUUUUUUAGCUGUCAACUACUGGAUCUGAUCCCCCACUGUGCUUCUGUACUUUUGCACUCACAUAGCCUGACAUGACAUCAACAUUCAAAAUUCCAUUUUUUUGCAAGCGUCUAAUCUACUCCCUCAUUAACAAAAUAAUUAUCUCCCAGUUAAAAAAGAACAAGCUAACAAACAAAACAAACAAACAACAAAAGCACAAAACAAACAAAAACCAAAAAACACCCCUCCAAACCAAACUAAAAGCCCAAAACAAAAGCAAAACCAAAAGCUAAGGCACAAAAACCUAUAGGAAGGAUAACCCCAAAUAUAGUUUCUAUCUGUAGAACUAAAAGAGUAUAGCACAAACAUGACAACUUUAAGAAGCAUUGCAUGACAACAAUAUCUACCUUAUUUAAUUGCAUCUGCACUAAUUUUCAAACAAAACCUGGGCUUGAUUUUUACUCAAAUUACAAAAGUUUCUAUAUUAUUAUGGGGUGCAUCAUGAUCGUUUGUUCAGUUUUGCUCUUACAGACUGCUCUAAAUGCUUUGGAUGCAUCUACACUGCUGGCUGAAAUGUGUCUUUAAAAACAGACACUGCACAGAGGGCAAAAAUGCAAACAGAUCCAUUCUGACCAAAGUACGCUUUCUGAAACAUGGCUGUGAGCUGGGAUCACGUUGGCUGAACUAUGUACCACCCUCUAUGAAGGAAGAGCUACAGCACUUGACUGCAAUGAGAAAUACCAUGUUGUGGAUGCUCUAUUGAAAAAAAGAUUUUUUUCUGUGCUAACACAAAUUAUUGCCUUUGACUGAAGCAGUACAAUUAGCUCAAAAUGUGAAGAGAAAAAACCGCAGGAGUGGUUCACAGGCAAGAAGGAAAAGACCUGAGAAUUUUAUAGCAAACCUGAUUUAAGCAGACCUCACCCUGACCUGGUGAUGUCAACUCCAGAGCACCUUGCUCCUAUGUUUAAAACACUCAGCAAAGCCUUGCUGCCAGCAUAUGUGAAAUCUGCAAUUUGAACUGCUGAAAUGCUCCUUGGUGGUAAUCCCUCUUCUGAAGUCCAUGUAGAAGGCUUCUGAGCAUGUUGCCUCAGGCAGAUAUUGCUAUUAACUUCAUAAAAGAGUUUGAGAUACUACACUGCAAAAUGAACAGUUCAGAUAUAAGCAGACAAUAUGACUUAGUAGAAAAAUUGUUUGACUUUCAGCAUUCUAUCACUUAGUAAGUGAUGGGAAACAUAAGAAAAUAUGUUCAAGCAGGAAACUGUUAUUUAUUAAGAAUUCAUCUUCCACACUGAACAAUCCCUGGGGUCUUGUCCCCAUUUCCUAAAGCAUUGUUCAUCUUGAGCUAUCAAAGUAAAUGUUAAGAUGCAAUAUUUGAAAUAGAGUUAUUUUACCAUUUGCUUGAGUAAUUUUUGUUUCUUCCUAUUCAGUCCAGGAUCUAUUUGGUUUCUGGGCCAAAAUUGCAUAUUUCCAGCUCAUAUCUAACUUUCCAUACACCAGCACCCCCAAGUCCUUCUUGUCGGGCUAUUCUAAAUCUCUUCAUCCCACAGCAUCUGUUCAUACUGGGGGUUGCCCCGAUCAGGUGGAGGAAUGUGCAUGUGGCCUUUCUGAAUCUCAUGAGGUUCCCAUUCCUGGCUAUCAGGGUUAACCCAAAAGAAGAAGAAGAAUGAUUCUGAAUCUAUCUAUCUAUCUAUCUAUCUAUCUAUCUAUCUAUCUAUCUAGCAUCUAUCACAUAAAAAGCACUUGACUUUGUAGGCAUAUGUACAUGGAAUGAACAUGAAAUAUAUUCAAACAAUACAUUACAUAUACACACACACACAGAUAUAUACAUAUAUAUAUAUAUAUAUAUACACACACACACACAUAUAUGUACUGAUUGAAAUGUUUCCAUUAUUGCAGAGCACAUAUACCACUAUAUAUUUGCAGCAAACUCAAUUCAUUUUGAGUAAAGGUUUUAGAGGAAAGGCCUUCAUAAGCAUUUCAUAAACAAACACAUUACAAGUCUACUGAUGGUCUAGCCAGCCCUAUAGCUGAAGGAUUGCUUCUACAUGUCAUAAUCCUAUGAAUUGUGGAAGAGUCAUCCUUUACAUUAGUAUGAGUACAUACUCCUUAGAAUUCACAGUAUAGAGCAGAUUCCUACUCUAGGCAAGUCUUCCAAAGCUCUGUGCAAAUUGAUUGGCUCAUAAGACACGCUGGCAAUAAAAAUUUCAGCACUUCACACUAAAAAAAAAAAAAAAUUACAUUUGAGUCCUUUUUAAAAUAAGUACAGACUUUAGAAUGCAAGAUCUAGGCAAAGAUACAGUCUAUCCCUUUCCAAUAAUGAGAAGACAGACAUCCAAUCUCACAAGACAACUACUCUGUUGUGAAAAUAUUUUCUGUGUCAAUACAACAGCACCAAUCCAAACACAAAAUAAUGUGCGUAAAGAAAUAGAUAUUUUAUGCUCCUUUUUGGGGUAUUGGGCAUUGUUUGUUUGUUUGUGGGUUUUGUUGGCUGGUUAGUUGGUUGUGGGAUUUUUUUGAGUUUUUUAAUUUGUUUGUUUUGGGUUGUUGUUUAUUUCUUAUUUAUGGGUUUUGUUGUGGUGGUGGCAGGAGGUUUUUGGGGGUUUUUAACGUUUCUUGGUUAAUCAGGUGUAUCUAGUGGAUUUUAUAAAUUAUAAUUUUUUAUUCCUCUAUUCUAUGGGGCUAUUGUUGCUAAGAUGAAUGUAAUAUGGCAAAAUAGGAUGGUUUUAAAAGAAAUUAACCAAUCCUUGCUAAGGUUAAGAAAAUAUAUUUUUAAUAUUAUGAGAACUCAGUAUAUGUCAUCCUAAUGUGAUUUGAAUCCCCCUGUUUUACAAGGAAUUAGUGUAUCAAAAAAAAGACUACAUUCCUCUUUCUCAUUUAUUACUAACCUAAGGAAGUAUAUAAUAAUUCAAUUUAAUUUAUAUUUCCCCAAAGAAGUGAAAUUCAGUGGAUAAUAAAUGCAGAGCUUCUGUAUUAAUAACACCUAGCUGGAGACAGUAGAAUACAUAUGGCAUGUAGUGGUUACAAUUAAGUAGGAAGACCUGAGACAGAGGCAUUUACAUCAGCAGCUUUGUACUGCUUAGGAAAAUAAUGGACCCUGAGGCAAAGCUGAGGGACUUAUUUAUCUGCAAUGAUUAAAACUAUUGAUAAUUCCCAAAGUGGUAGGUUCAGCUGCUGUUCCAAAUUAUAUUGCUUAAGAUAUUAAUGAGAAAACAGAAACACUGUCUGUGCUAUUUAGUUAAUACCAGAGGCCAUAUUUCAUUUGCCAUUUCUACUUUAGAUAAUUCUACAUUCAAAUUGAGAUUAGUCUACAUUACUAUUGUUGAUUUUAUGUUUUAUGAAAUGUACCUUGGCUUAACCCUUCUAUUAAGAUAACACGAUAGCAUUACUGCUGUGCCAGGUCUUUUGUGAUACCUGAAGAAUAUCUUUAUUGUUAUUUACAUUUUCACUUAUUUCUAUUUGCCAAUAUUUGGGUAUUAAUACAAGUUAGAAUUAAAUUUUUAGUUAAGAUUAAAAUCAAUUCCAUAUAUUAUAUAUUGUUUGUUUGUAGAAACAGUGAAAUGUUGAGUACUGUAGAGAUCUGCUACCCACAGAGAAGAGUAGUAGAGCUGUCUUCCCUGUAAUCAUUACUCUGAAAUGAUGCUUGACACUGAUCUCCAUUCAAUGCCGUCUUUGUUAACACUGAAAGUUAUCCUAUCAAGUGGGAUUAACAAUGAAAUAUUCCAUCUAAGCAGCAACACAUAAGAAGAGCAGGGAUCACUGGCUCAGUCAGUCACAUGAAGAUGCAGUCAGAAGCCAAGCAAUGAGUUGAAGCUUUGAUUGUAAAUUGAAGUAUGAAAUUAUUUUGUCAAAUUGUGCUGUUUGACAGUGAGAAAGAUUCAUGAGAAAAACUAUAGAACGGGUGUUUGGGACAUGAGAUAGUAGAAAGCACAGGACUCAAAAAAAUCACUUCUGAUAAGCAAUAAUCCAUUAUUAGAAAUAAAAAAAAAAAAAAGACUAACUAUUUAAUAGAUUAAAGUCAUUACUUUGUGUCUCCCUAAGCAUAAGGAGGCUUUAUACACUCAAAUUACCACAUUAAAGCCUUCAACCCACAAUCUUUUCUAUGUCAGUUGUUCUAAUUGCAUAUUCAAAAAUAGUUUUGACAGAUUGCUUUUGUCCUGUUUGGGAAGCCCCUAUUAAUGGCUGAUCAGUAAAGAGAUUAAGGACAAAAACAAAAAAACAAACAAACAACCCCCAAAAAACAACAACAAAAAAAAA
RNAcentral lists this long non-coding RNA (5733 nucleotides) under Taeniopygia guttata (zebra finch). RNAcentral's name for it is "lncRNA (ENSTGUG00000021086.1)". The record is from RNAcentral. Lineage: Eukaryota; Metazoa; Chordata; Aves; Passeriformes; Estrildidae.